Molecule: long non-coding RNA, 936 nt
Organism: Acyrthosiphon pisum (pea aphid)
Lineage: Eukaryota; Metazoa; Arthropoda; Insecta; Hemiptera; Aphididae
Exons: 4
Source: RefSeq, a predicted model, not a curated record
UAUUAAUACUACAAUAUUAUAUAGACAUGUUAUUCUAAUAUCUUAGCUUAAUUUUCAUGGAAUAUCAGUUUAAAUAUUUAUAGACUUAUAAACGCUUAUAUAAUAUUAAUAUAAUAUUACUAUAAACUAUUUUUUUUGCUAGGUAGGUAGGAAAAUUUGUGGGGAUUCUAACUUGAAACAAAAUUACAUUUUGGGUGAUAUACAUUAUGAUAAAAAUUGUCUUUUAGCAGUUAACACCAAUACACUAAUAAACCUAUCAUUAAUUUUAUUUAAAUUCAUUUCUAGAAAUGCACUAUGUCUAUGGGAUUUUUCUGAUGACGAUGCGAUGGAUAGUUACGUUGAAGUUGUUGGUGAGGACUUUGUAAAUGAUGAUAAUAGCCUCUUCAACCAUACUAUUCGAGUUAUGAAUCGACCAGCUCAUGGACAGCAGCAGCUACAAAAUUGUUGAUUGCACUCAGAGAAUCCUAUAAUGAGGAAAAUAUGAAACUUUGGUUACUAAUAUCUAAUGAAAUUAAGGAAAAAAAAUCACAAUUUUAGUGCAAGGCAGUUUAAUGAAAAGUAGUGACGUUUACUAACUUGUUUUUGUCAAGUUAGAGAUGUGUCCUUGGCAGUGGCUCCGAACCUAUGUAUUAGAUCGCCACACCUAUUUUAAGGCAUACGCCUAAUGGUGUCGAGGCUUAUGGCGCAACAGACUAUUCAGAAGAAAUUGCUGUUAUCAUACCGGUGAUUAAAGCAGAAGUUCAUAGUUCCUCAAUAAUAUCGGCUGAGGCUAACCAACUGCUAAAUAUCUUUAUAAUGUAACGUGUAAUAUAUUUUUAUUAUAUCAUAUAAAAAAUACUAUUUAGGAACUAGUGCUCAUGUGAUCAAAUUCAUUAACUGUCAUUUUUUUUUUUUUUUUGGGUCUGUCAUCAACUUUUAGGACAGUAAAAGUGCUUG